RNAcentral lists this long non-coding RNA (246 nucleotides) under Lynx pardinus (Iberian lynx). The record is from RNAcentral. Lineage: Eukaryota; Metazoa; Chordata; Mammalia; Carnivora; Felidae.
AGAGUAAACAAUGAUGUCGUUUAUUUAAAAUGUUUACUCCAAGAAAUAUAUAUAAAAAAAAAAUAAGACAAUUACAGCACUAAACCAGGCACCUUCGACCAAAUCACAACCUCUUCUCAGGUUCUCCCCCUUCGCCCUAAACCCCUUCUCCCAAAGGCUCCUUCCUGAGCUGGAAGACAGGUCAGAUGCCCGAGGGGUUGGUGCAGAGUCCGUGCCCAGACCGGGCCCCUCUUUCUCUUGGGGUGC